UACGAAGGGUGCAAGCGUUGCUCGGAAUUAUUGGGCGUAAAGGGUAGGUAGGUGGUUACGUAUGUCUGGGGUGAAAUCCCUGAGCUCAACUCAGGAAGUGCCUUGGAAACGGCGUAACUAGAGUACUAGAGAGGUUCGUGGAAUUCCUGGUGUAGCGGUGAAAUGCGUAGAUAUCAGGAGGAACACCUGCGGUGUAGACGGCUUACUGGACCAUAACUGACGCUGAGGCACGAAAGCGUGGGUAGCAAACAGG
This 253-nucleotide ribosomal RNA is filed under the name uncultured bacterium. RNAcentral's name for it is "partial 16S ribosomal RNA". It matches the Rfam family "Bacterial small subunit ribosomal RNA", at positions 524 to 776 of the family's 1533-position model. The record is from RNAcentral.